UGAGCAAUCUGCCCUUCUCAUCGGAAUAAGCGUUGGAAACGACGUCUAAUGCCGAAUACGACCUCCUUUCGCAUGAUCGGAGGUGGAAAGCUCCGGCGGAGAAGGAUGAGCUCGCGGCCUAUCAGCUAGUUGGUGUGGGUAACGGCCCACCAAGGCGACGACGGGUAGCCGGCCUGAGAGGGUGGCCGGCCACACUGGGACUGAGACACGGCCCAGACUCCUACGGGAGCAGCAGG
RNAcentral lists this ribosomal RNA (236 nucleotides) under uncultured bacterium. Its description in RNAcentral is "partial 16S ribosomal RNA". It matches the Rfam family "Bacterial small subunit ribosomal RNA", at positions 118 to 354 of the family's 1533-position model. The record is from RNAcentral.